AUAUGGGUGUGGGUGGGUGACGGCGUGACGCCUCUGGUGCCAAAUUGCGGGUUCUUCCUUGCGCUCUUUCACACUCCUGCAAAGCCUUUGUCUUCAUCUGUAAGUCAAAUUUGCUGUAGAAAUCUCAAUUUUGUUUCGAUUCAAUAUGAUUCUUUGAAUUGAAGUCAAAUUUCGCAAAUUUUUGGUGUAUUUUUUUCGAUUUUUAGUCACAGAAUUGGAGUGAUCUAGAAAACCCUAGAUCUUGAACUUUCGUUGUUUAGUUUACUGCGAUUUAGGGUUGCUUCGUUGGAAUCAGUCUAUGCAGUGGACUUUCGUGGUGGAUCUUGAGUUUUUGGGACGUAACAGCUCGGUUUUUGGAGGUUCUAGGUUUGGGGUUUUCUGGGUUUGAGGUUGGUUUGUGGUGAAUUCUGCUGAUUCUGGUUUUAAGGAUCUUUAGGGUUAUAGGUUUAGGUAAUGGCUUCGAGUCCUCCAUUCGCGGUGGAGGAUCNNN
RNAcentral lists this long non-coding RNA (490 nucleotides) under Vitis vinifera (wine grape). RNAcentral describes it as "long non-coding RNA (VVIN_LNC007803)". The record is from RNAcentral. Lineage: Eukaryota; Viridiplantae; Streptophyta; Magnoliopsida; Vitales; Vitaceae.